GCAAGCAUGGUGUAGUGGUUUGCAUGUUGGACUGCAACUCCAGAGACCAGGGUUCAGUUCCCAGCUCAGCCA
This 72-nucleotide transfer RNA is filed under the name Phrynosoma platyrhinos (Desert horned lizard). Its description in RNAcentral is "tRNA-OTHER". Lineage: Eukaryota; Metazoa; Chordata; Lepidosauria; Squamata; Phrynosomatidae. The record is from RNAcentral.